RNAcentral lists this ribosomal RNA (301 nucleotides) under uncultured bacterium. RNAcentral's name for it is "partial 16S ribosomal RNA". It matches the Rfam family "Bacterial small subunit ribosomal RNA", at positions 509 to 807 of the family's 1533-position model. The record is from RNAcentral.
CAGUAGCCGCGGUAAUACGUAGGUGGCAAGCGUUGUCCUGAUUUAUUGGGCGUAAAGCGAGCGCAGGCGGUUUCUUAAGUCUGAUGUGAAAGCCCCCGGCUCAACCGGGGAGGGUCAUUGGAAACUGGGAAACUUGAGUGCAGAAGAGGAGAGUGGAAUUCCAUGUGUAGCGGUGAAAUGCGUAGAUAUAUGGAGGAACACCAGUGGCGAAGGCGGCUCUCUGGUCUGUAACUGACGCUGAGGCUCGAAAGCGUGGGGAGCAAACAGGAUUAGAUACCCCUGUAGUCCCUGUCUCUUAUAC